Limanda limanda (common dab) is the source of this 420-nucleotide long non-coding RNA. RefSeq lists it as uncharacterized. Lineage: Eukaryota; Metazoa; Chordata; Actinopteri; Pleuronectiformes; Pleuronectidae. The transcript is spliced from 3 exons. The record is from RefSeq and is a predicted model, not a curated record.
CACCACUACCAACAAAAAACAACAACAGCCUUCAACUCAGCAUGCGAGAAAGAUGACGAACGGAGAGCAAGUAUGCAUGUCUAGAUCGGGCAAUAACUCGCCAGGAGUGAUACGUCAUCAUAACAUAUGAGGCACACAACAAAUGCACACAAGUUAUGGUGAAGCUUGUCAGGCUGAAGAAGGCUGCGCACCAACAAGCUGCUUCUCUCCACUAGCAGCUGAAUCCUGCACAGAGCAAGUUAAAGGAUGCCCUGCAAGAAGUAGAGGUGCUGCAAUCCUGUGCAGCAUUUUGUAAAGAUGAUAUGACAGAAACCUCUACAUAAACAGAGGAACGACUGAGGAGACAACCAGCGAACCAGAAGUAUAAUUUUGUAGUUAAAUGACUGCUUUCAAAAGCUGUAGAUAUGUAUCUAAACCUGC